Long non-coding RNA from Xenia sp. Carnegie-2017, 612 nucleotides. RefSeq lists it as uncharacterized. Lineage: Eukaryota; Metazoa; Cnidaria; Anthozoa; Malacalcyonacea; Xeniidae. The transcript has 4 exons. The record is from RefSeq and is a predicted model, not a curated record.
UUUCAGAGUAACUAUCUCGCUCAGUCUUAAAUUGUUAGAAAAUUGUCUGAGCAUGUGCAAUUGACUCCACCUAUUGUCCAAGUUCAUAUUCAUGGCAACAACCAAUUAUAUUUACUAGAGGCACAGAUGUAGCUCCGGAAGACACUUUCUCUGCAUACCAAAGUACCUUAGCACAUGAAGCUGAAGCUCAGUUUUGGCUAAUACAAGAAAAUUGGCAUGCAAAUUGGUAGCCAAGUCUAAUUGAGGGCCGCUGUGUUCAUCCAUCGAUAUGCACUGAAAUAUUUCAAACUUAAGACAGGAAAUCAGGCCUGGUUUUGGAUGGUCUUUUCUGGAAUUAGAAUUCCACUUCUAGGCAAAAUGCUUCAUCUCUUGGCAGCCCUGGAGACAAAUGUAUGGUUUAUCAUUAACCACCCAUAUAUAUCACCUGAUGUUCCUGAGAAUAAAUGCUAAGAAGUGUAUCAUUUGUCACUCUAAAUAUAAAUUAUAUUAAAUUAAUGAAUCAUAUGAAUAAAAUAUAACUUAUAAUGAUUUUUAUACAAAUUACAUUAAUGUUCACCAAGCACUAAAUAUCGACCAAUGAAAUGAAAAAAAUUGAUGACGAAUGCGAGUAAG